Molecule: long non-coding RNA, 322 nt
Organism: Oncorhynchus tshawytscha (Chinook salmon)
Lineage: Eukaryota; Metazoa; Chordata; Actinopteri; Salmoniformes; Salmonidae
Source: Ensembl
AGCUAAGGUAGUUUGGACAUUCUGUAACCUGAUCUCUCCUCAGACACCAACUAGCUCUCGAAGACUCACGUCAGGUUUAGAUGUUCAGCCACGUUUUCUCAAACAAUGCACUUAUUUACAGCAGGUAGUGAAUGUGGCUAGUUACAGGGGACAGGUGGUGCCCACAGUCCCUACAGCCCUACAGGGGACAGGUGGUGUCCACAGUCCCUACGGCCCUACAGGGGACAGGUAGUGCCCACUUUCCCUACGGCCCUAUAGGGGACAGGUGGUGCCCACAGUCCCUACGGCCCUACAGGGGACAGGUGGUGCCCACUUUCCCUAC